CCCUUCCUCUCGGCUCCCCCCGCGCUGGAGCUCCCCUGCUCGGCUCCCCUGCGCGUCGCCGGAGCUGCCUCGCCCCACACCUCCACCGCGUUGCUUCCCUCUCCUUGUUCCCUUGCUCGUUCCCCAUGGUGAACCACGGGAAGGAGAAGGCUCGAUUUUUUUUCUCGAUCUGCUCUCCGACGGCGGCGGCCUUCCCCGAGCUUGGCGAGCUGGAGCUGUCCCUUCCCGCCGUCGAUCUGCUCUCCGCGAGGCCGCCUGCCUUCCCGGACCAUCCCCUCUCGCUCAGCCGCGACUCCCUCCCUGGAGCAGCCGUUCCCGCCCAACCCAAAGCCGCCGGCCGGAGCUACACCGCAGCACGCUCCCUCCCCCUCUUCUUGGGGACCGGAUUGUGGCCGAGGAGGAGCUUGUCCUUGUCGCCCAGCUGCUCCCGCUCCAACGGGCUCGUCCACAAGUCCGGCAGCACCAGCCGCUCUUCCCUCUUCCGGUCUAGCCCAUCGACGACGACGGCUCCUCCUCAUGCUCAUCGGACUCGUGCACAAGUGCUCUGCAAGUCUGCAUUGGGAAGCAGAUACAGUUUUUCUUGGUGGGCGUGGUUUUGGAACAGCCAUGUCUUCUCUAAUUUUGACAGUGCUUGAGUUUAGAGUAUGGUUAUACUUUUGCUUAGGGAAAUACUUUGGCAUGGAGUACAUUGUGGCUCUGAAAUCAUUUCUGAAGCAGUGAGAUCUGAAGUUUAUGCUAGAAUUGAAGUGUUUGUUUCCUAACUAUAGGUAGCAGUACUCUGAUGGAGUACCUUCUUCAGAGUGCAAAUAGCACCAGCAGCAGCAGUCACGGCGGGAGUCAACAACAACAACAGCAACACGACACGGAUCAGCAACAGAAGCACAGGCAGAGGAGCAGUAGCAUCAACACGGGAAGAGGAGCAGCAGCAGCACGGGUUAGCUCCACCGGCGGCAGGGGAGAAACAGAGGAGAAACAAGAUGCAGCAGCACGGGCUAGCACCACCGGCAGGCACGUAGGCAAAGAAGGAGCACCACGGCGACGCGUGGGAGCUCGACGAGGACUCGCGGGAGACCACGGAGGACGCGCGCGAGCUCCUGUCCACCAGAUCGUGGGGGCCGGCUCCGGCGAUGCCCGUAGGUGGAUCACGGCGGGAGGGAUCGCGGUGGCGCACGGGAGGCAG
Triticum dicoccoides is the source of this 1180-nucleotide RNA transcript. RefSeq lists it as uncharacterized. The transcript has 5 exons. The record is from RefSeq and is a predicted model, not a curated record. NCBI's taxonomy places the organism in Eukaryota, Viridiplantae, Streptophyta, Magnoliopsida, Poales, Poaceae.